GGGCCGGUAGCUCAGCAUGGCUAGAGCUUGAGCGACCAUAGCGUUCGGCUGAUAACCGAAAGGUCGAGAGUUCGAAUCUCCCCCGGCCCA
This 90-nucleotide transfer RNA is filed under the name Nitrososphaerota archaeon. RNAcentral's name for it is "Thaumarchaeota archaeon tRNA-Ile". It matches the Rfam family "tRNA". Rfam says of the family: Transfer RNA (tRNA) molecules are approximately 80 nucleotides in length. Their secondary structure includes four short double-helical elements and three loops (D, anti-codon, and T loops). The record is from RNAcentral. Lineage: Archaea; Thermoproteati; Nitrososphaerota. RNAcentral also lists the same sequence under 1 other name.